Homo sapiens (human) is the source of this 539-nucleotide long non-coding RNA. Ensembl annotates it as long intergenic non-protein coding RNA 499. The record is from Ensembl. NCBI's taxonomy places the organism in Eukaryota, Metazoa, Chordata, Mammalia, Primates, Hominidae.
UUUUGAGGUUCUGGGACUUGGACUGGCUUUCUUGCUUCUCAGCUUGCAGACGACCUAUUGUGGGACUUCACCUUGUGAUUGUGCCUCUUCUGGAACUGAUUGCAAGGAGUGAAAUGGACUAAUUUUAGAAUAAGCAACUCUACUAUGGAACAUCUGAAAAAAAAAGAGCACUUUUUAAAUUACAGCAAAAUAUUUUUUGAUAUAAAUUUGUGUCUGGCUUCCGCAGAAAACAGUAGACACAUAUAAGGUUUUGCUCCAAGAACAGACUGGACAAAUGAAAUGACAUAUAUAUCCACAAGGGACAUGUUUUUAAGGCAGUUGUCAGAGGAGAAAGAGGAGAAGCAUGUGGAAGGAGGGCUUCCUGAUGACUAAAUUAUAUGUAUGUUUCUGUAUGUCUCAUUUCAUGGGAACUACCUCUACUUUCAAAUGAUCAUUUCUUCCCAACAUUUCAAUCUAUAUAUCACUUCUCUUUGUAAUGAAAAGCAUGUUACUUUUCUAACUUUUAGCCUAAAUACUAAGAAAUAAAAAUUUAUUUAAUG